GAAUUUUAUAUAAGUUAGGUAUUUUUGGAUAGUUGGAAUGGGUAUCAAAGUUAUAUUUAGUUGGGAGGAUAGUUAAAUUAAUGAAACUUUAAUUUAGUUUAAAAUAUAAAUUAAUAGAUUUAAGAAUGGUUAGUAAAUUAAGAAAGAAUUAAUUACCUUAGGGAUAACAGCGUAAUAUUUUUAGAGAGUUCAUAUUAAUAAAAAUGUUUGC
RNAcentral lists this ribosomal RNA (211 nucleotides) under Crematogaster levior. Its description in RNAcentral is "partial large subunit ribosomal RNA". Lineage: Eukaryota; Metazoa; Arthropoda; Insecta; Hymenoptera; Formicidae. The record is from RNAcentral.